RNA transcript from Ictalurus punctatus (channel catfish), 3214 nucleotides. It is a transcript of the gene named histone H1-like, with no coding region annotated. Lineage: Eukaryota; Metazoa; Chordata; Actinopteri; Siluriformes; Ictaluridae. The record is from RefSeq and is a predicted model, not a curated record. The transcript has 7 exons.
UUAAUUUCAAUUUACAUUUUUUGUAGCUCAAAAAUAAUAAUAAAAAAAUGUUAAAUUAGAAAUGAAGAUCAGCAUCAAUUAACCCGCCCCUUCUCACACAUGGCAUGGCGGGCCAAAUCAAGUCACCACGGGCCAACUUUGGCCCACAGCCCGUAGUUUGGGCAUCUCUGUUCUAACUGUUGUAGUAGCACAUAGUCAUUUGAACUAAUGUGACAUUAGCACAAAGUCAUUCAAAAGAGUGUUCUAGUAGCACAUAGACAUUGAAAAGAAUGUUCUAGCAGCAUGGAAUACAACACACACACACACACACACACACACACACGGCUAUAGCGGAGCCUAUAGUCACGCGCGCUGUGCUUUACACGGCCCCCAACGCGCUCUGCUUCCGAUACUACACACACCACUCGACAGCUGCCAAGACAUCAGGCUCGUUCCCAAGGCUCCUCUUUAACUCGGCCCAGAACGCAUACGACGGCCGUGCCUGCUUUUCGCCGGUUUUUACACACCACAUCGCACCAAAUGCGCAGCCCGCCGGCUUGAGCACAACGCGCGCCGCGCCUUUUCAUGUGCGCUGCGCGAGACUGUUGCUCUCUAGCCGGCCAGGCCGGGCCACGGGAGACACGAGAAAGCCCGUCCUCGCUCAGCGUGUGCUUCAACGUUUUGAAUCUCGUCUUGCGAGUGGGAUUUUCACCGAGAAAUGCCACGAGAAAACACAUCUGAGCGCGCGCCGCGUCCGUGCAUUCAUUCAGCGGCGCCCCGAGUUGAGUCUACAACGCUCUCAUAUCUGUUUUUAAGACCAGCCCCCGGCCCCGGGGAGGGAGGAUCAUCCUGUGUUACACACUAACGUACAGCGUACGACUCGUGUAUUCUACGCAGUUCCAAGAGAGAUGGCAGAAGUCGCACCCGCUCCCGCCGCAGCGCCGGCCAAAGCGCCCAAGAAGAAAGCAGCUUCGAGAGCAAAAAAAGCCGGCCCUAGCGUCGGCGAACUGAUCGUCAAAGCCGUUUCCUCGUCUAAGGAGAGGAGCGGCGUGUCUCUCGCUGCCCUGAAGAAAGCGCUGGCUGCCGGCGGAUACGAUGUGGAGAAGAACAACUCCCGCGUCAAGAUCGCCGUUAAGGGUCUCGUGACUAAAGGCACUCUGGUGCAGACCAAAGGGACCGGCGCGUCUGGCUCUUUCAAGCUGAACAAGAAGCAGACCGAAGCCAAGAAGCCCGUGAAGAAAGCCGCGCCCAAAGCGAAAAAGCCCGCCGCCAAAAAGCCCGCCGCUACUAAGAAGCCCAAGAAGGUAGCGGCCAAGAAACCCGCCGCCGCGGCCAAGAAGGCGAAGAAGCCCACAGCCGCCGCAAAGAAAGCCACCAAGAGCCCGAAGAAGGCGAAAAAGCCCGCGACCCCUAAAAAGGCAGCCAAGAGCCCCAAGAAAGCGAAAGCUGUCAAGCCCAAGACCACAAAGCCUAAAGCGGCAAAGGCGAAGAAGGCAGCACCCAAAAAGAAGUCAGUCUCCCCGGCGCGCGCGCACAGACAUAUGUAGUCAAAUCGGAGGAGCGAGCCAUAAGAUCUGUUAUGACGUCACGUUCAGAGUUCUGUAAGUUUCCUGAUGGUAUGCUUGACGGUUGUUCCCUUUAUGACGCCGCGAAUGUCGAGGUUUUUAAACGUUGUGGUAUCAGAGCGGGCCUCUGUAUUCAUUUGAACGGAGUAGUAUUUAAUCAUUGGUCUAUCUAACCUUUUCAUGUGCUUAGUUUCUUUGUUUGUUCAUCUGUCGUGUUUAAGAAUGGACAUGGAAAUAAUAUAUCCAGAUAUCUGUACAGCUGCUUUGUGACAAUGUAAACUUAAAAAAAAAAAAAAAAAACAUUUCCAUGUCUAGAGAAUAGGGUAUGUUCUUUAAAAAAAUAAAUCAUAAUGAUGAUGCUGUUAAACAUUUCAGAAGCUCCGUGUAUUGUCCUUGAUACGUGAAAACUAGACAAUGCACAGUAAUAACGCUGAUGAGCUGCGUCAGUGUAAAAUAGCCCAAAGCUACCUUCUGUUUCAGGCGGCGUUGUGCUGGAUGGAGCUUGACUGCCCUCGUGUGUCCAAACUCAGGAACGGCAGUUUCCCUGAAGGGGUAUUCUGUUCCAAGUUUUGUGAUCUGGAUGUUCAGCUGGUCUCAGAUCAAGCAUCCUCCUCUGUACUGACUCCACUAUCCCCAGCUUCAUCCCAUUCAUUAGAUUCCACAAUUGUCCUGGAGUCCACACGAAAGAGUAGGAACCCAACAGGGUUAAUGGAGCAGAAUGAAGCAAGACAGAAAGUUGAUUGUGUUCUGAGGGCCAAUCCAAAGGGUGAGGAAAUCUUCAAGGAGUAUGAAAAGACCAAAACACUAACAUGUCUGCAACCAGGACGUUCACCGUCUGUUUACGUGUGGCAUAUGUUAGAGCUACAUGGGUAAGAAUUGGAGGUCACUUCCCUCCCUUUAUCAUCACAACAGAUUCAUGUGGCACAGAUAAAGAAUGCUAUUCUGUGUUGCUAUAAAAGGAGAAUUUAUCCUUUAACUUCUUGCAAAACAUACACACUUGCAAAGUAAAUUGAUUUAUUUUGAAAGGAUGAUUCCAUGGUCAAGUGUGAAGACCAGUUAUGCACUGGGAAUUGUGACACUUUUUCCAUACCUCCAAGAUCCUUUCUCCAAACAUGGAUAUGAACACUACUAUGAUCCUGAGGGUAAUACUGGCUUCAUUGCAUGGAGGAUCAAGACAGUUCAACAUAACACCUGUGCUGGCUCCCGGUGUUAUUCCAAGACUGUUCUUCAGGAUGGUCCAAAAAACAGACAAGAAUCUCUCUUAACUUGUCAACAGCGAUUUGGUGAGGAGUGCAGGGAGGCGAUAUCUACAAUACGACAUUUCACUGAUGAGAAGAUGAGCGACUUUCCAGUAUUGACCGAAGAUGGUCGGUGAGGAUGCAUCAUCUUCUGUCCUGGAUUUGUUCACUCGUUUCCUUGCUGUAUCCGGAUUGAUCUACCACGAUUUCUCCAUGAUGUUUGGUGACAAAGUGUCUCAGAAGUUCCUGGCAAUGUGGUCAAUAUUCUUCAAGCCAAAAAUCAUUGCAGACUGCAAGACUCUUAAGAAUAUGGGCGAGCUGCUGUCAGGAACUGAACCUGAAUCUGAGGACUACAAUGCUGCAUCUGCUCCCUCUAACCUCAAGAGGCCAGAAAAAAAUAUCCAAGAUCAGUUCAGCUCAAGCAACCAGCCA